This 462-nucleotide long non-coding RNA is filed under the name Mustela putorius furo (domestic ferret). RNAcentral describes it as "lncRNA (ENSMPUG00000025741.1)". Lineage: Eukaryota; Metazoa; Chordata; Mammalia; Carnivora; Mustelidae. The record is from RNAcentral.
UGGCCAUGAUCAACCCUCCCACCCUUGAAAGCUCUCCCUUCUUUUCUUGCCUUCCACAGUCCCACUGAAGAGCUCGGAGGUUUGCCGAGACCCACACUGCCCUUGCAGGGACGAGCAGAGAGACGCCGGGAACAGAGGCACAGGAGGACGGGGACGCACGACCCAGGCAGAGCAGAGGUCAGGCCCAGGCCCCUCAGCAGACAUAGCCCUGGAUUCCAGUGGUCCUGGACGUGACCUGCUGUCUGUUUCCUCCACUGACACAGGCCAUGAGAGCACUUCUAUCCCACACAGUGCGUGACCCACGCGUGCUAUUGGGCGCCCACAUGCGGCAGGUCUGAGCUGGGCUGUGACACGAGGGCCCGCACACCCUGCCUUUUGAACACUCAACACAAAAAACACAAAGUAGCUCAGUGAUGUUUAUAUUCAUUACAUGGUCGAAAGGAUAACAUUCUUGAUAUAUGG